UGGAUCACCUCCUAACAGGGAGACAACACAAUGAUUUUGAUGCCUGAGUGUUUUUAUUCUUAGGCCGAAAUUCUGUCACCUUAGGUCGAUCGGUACCUCAGCUUUGAAGUUAAGACGAUACAGAAAUGUAUGGUGCUUGAUGGAGAUUUUCAGUUCCUAAACUUUGUCUAGGUCACACCCCACAAGGGUUGAGUCUUCCUGGGCCAUUAGCUCAGGUGGUUAGAGCGCACCCCUGAUAAGGGUGAGGUCCCUGGUUCAAGUCCAGGAUGGCCCAUUCGGUGUUGGGGGUUUAGCUCAGUUGGUAGAGCGCCUGCUUUGCAAGCAGGAUGUCAGGAGUUCGAGUCUCCUAACCUCCACUGACCGAACUUAAUCUCCAUCUUCUGAUUGAUUGGAAGGUGAACUCGAGUGUGAGAGGUGUGAUUUGGAUGUGUCCGCUGGCAUGACCCCAGCUUCCUGUCAUUGCAAGAUUGAGUGAGCAAUCACGUUGAUUUUGGUUGAUAAGAUGCUGGGCUCGAACUGAGCGAUCAGUUUGAUGUCUAGCAGAACCUUGACAACUGCAUAGGUGAGUCUGGAAAGAAUAAAGCAUCUCUCAUGGAUGCAUCAUUUCUUUUUGGAAUGAUGUUGAUUCUUGAGCAAGAGCCGAGACUCCAUCACGUUCUUUUCAUUGUGUCGAGCAAUGAAGAGUUUGAACAUCGAUUCAGAAUGAAUCAGUGAGAAUCUGUUUCAACGACAGCAAGCGUGUUGGAGAUUAUAUGGUCAAGCUACAAAGGGCUCACGGUGGAUACCUUGGCACACAGAGGCGAUGAAGG
Molecule: transfer RNA, 809 nt
Filed under: uncultured Synechococcus sp.
Lineage: Bacteria; Bacillati; Cyanobacteriota; Cyanophyceae; Synechococcales; Synechococcaceae
Description: partial contains 16S ribosomal RNA, 16S-23S ribosomal RNA intergenic spacer, and 23S ribosomal RNA
Rfam family: tRNA (bases 284-356)
Source: RNAcentral